RNAcentral lists this ribosomal RNA (248 nucleotides) under uncultured Faecalibaculum sp. RNAcentral's name for it is "partial 16S ribosomal RNA". It matches the Rfam family "Bacterial small subunit ribosomal RNA", at positions 524 to 771 of the family's 1533-position model. The record is from RNAcentral. Lineage: Bacteria; Bacillati; Bacillota; Erysipelotrichia; Erysipelotrichales; Erysipelotrichaceae.
UACGUAGGUGGCGAGCGUUAUCCGGAAUGAUUGGGCGUAAAGGGUGCGCAGGCGGUCCUGCAAGUCUGGAGUGAAACGCAUGAGCUCAACUCAUGCAUGGCUUUGGAAACUGGAGGACUGGAGAGCAGGAGAGGGCGGUGGAACUCCAUGUGUAGCGGUAAAAUGCGUAGAUAUAUGGAAGAACACCAGUGGCGAAGGCGGCCGCCUGGCCUGUUGCUGACGCUGAGGCACGAAAGCGUGGGGAGCAA